CCUACGGGUGGCAGCAGUGGGGAAUAUUGCACAAUGGGGGAAACCCUGAUGCAGCGACGCCGCGUGAGUGAAGAAGUAAUUCGUUACGUAAAGCUCUAUCAGCAGGGAAGAAACACUGACCUUACGGUCAGCAGACGGUACCUGAGUAAGAAGCCCCGGCUAACUACGGGCCAGCAGCCGCGGUACUACGUAGGGGGCAAGCGUGAUCCGGAUUUACUGGGUGUAAAGGGAGCGUAGACGGUGGGCCAAGUCUGAAGUGAAAUGCCGCAGCUUAACUGAGGAACUGCUUUGGAAACUGGCGAACUAGAGUGCGGGAGGGGUCAGCGGAAUGCCUAGUGUAGCGGUGAAAUGCGUAGAUAUUAGGAGGAACACCGGUGGCGAAGGCGGCUUACUGGACCGUAACUGACGUUGAGGCUCGAAAGCGUGGGGAGCAAACAGGAUUAGAUACCCUUGUAGUC
Molecule: ribosomal RNA, 458 nt
Filed under: uncultured bacterium
Lineage: Bacteria
Description: partial 16S ribosomal RNA
Rfam family: Bacterial small subunit ribosomal RNA
Source: RNAcentral